UCCCCCACAAUUCCUAAAACCUUAUUUUAUUUUCCCUCUCUUUCCUUCUCCCUCUCCUCGAUCUCUUCCUUUGGCUCUCUCCCGCUCGUGCCCGGUGCCCGCGACAGCAGCAACAACAACAUCUCGACCACCGACGCUAGCGCCUCGCCUUCCCAGUCAUCCCGCCUCUCCGCACCCCGAUCUUCACGGCAUGCCGGAGGAGAUUUCUAAUUGCUGGUUGAAUUGCGAUUGUGGCCCCUUGCAUUACCUAUUCAAGGUACGUACAUGUCUAAGAUUGCGGUGACGGUGGUGGAGAGGCGACUGGUUCUGCUCGGAAGAGGGUGGUGGAGAAGGCUUCGAGAGAUGUUAUGGAGGAAGAUGAGUGCGGGAGAGGAGAAACAUAGCAAAAGAAGUUGAAGGAAAUGUCACUGCAGGCUGAUGAAUUCGAGUUUAGGGGGCAUUCUUCAAUGAGUUAUUCAUGGGUUUAGUAAAAGAUUGUAUGGUUUUAGUUAUAAUUUUCUUACAUUUAGUUAUGAAAUGGUUAUAUUUAGUUAUGAAAUGGUUUUAGUAAAAAAAAUUGGUUCUAUGCUAUUUCUUGUGACUUUUUGUUAAUGCUUUUGGCACAU
Long non-coding RNA from Spinacia oleracea (spinach), 605 nucleotides. RefSeq lists it as uncharacterized. The transcript is spliced from 3 exons. Lineage: Eukaryota; Viridiplantae; Streptophyta; Magnoliopsida; Caryophyllales; Amaranthaceae. The record is from RefSeq and is a predicted model, not a curated record.